AUAAGAGUCAUACAAAAGAGAAGUAACAUAAAUGAGCCUUUUCAGAGAGCUGAUGGUGCUGUGAAUCAGUAGGGAUAAAUUAUGUGAAUGGACUUUUGGACGAAGCUUUGAAAUCUUAGUAGGAGCUUCCGGGAACUCCCGAUAUAGAGUAAAGUCGUUGUUGGACGACUGAUAGAGAAAUGCCUUGUUUGGCAUACCAUUGAGGUGGCACCGUGGAUUACCGCCCUCAAA
Molecule: non-coding RNA, 231 nt
Organism: Trichuris trichiura (human whipworm)
Lineage: Eukaryota; Metazoa; Nematoda; Enoplea; Trichinellida; Trichuridae
Source: Rfam